UACGAAGGGGGCUAGCGUUGCUCGGAAUUACUGGGCGUAAAGGGCGCGUAGGCGGACAGCUUAGUCAGAGGUGAAAGCCCAGGGCUCAACCUUGGAAUUGCCUUUGAUACUGGCUGUCUUGAGUUCGGGAGAGGUGAGUGGAAUGCCGAGUGUAGAGGUGAAAUUCGUAGAUAUUCGGCGGAACACCAGUGGCGAAGGCGACUCACUGGCCCGAUACUGACGCUGAGGCGCGAAAGCGUGGGGGGCAAACAGG
RNAcentral lists this ribosomal RNA (253 nucleotides) under uncultured bacterium. Its description in RNAcentral is "partial 16S ribosomal RNA". It matches the Rfam family "Bacterial small subunit ribosomal RNA", at positions 524 to 776 of the family's 1533-position model. The record is from RNAcentral.